Hygrophoropsis aurantiaca is the source of this 72-nucleotide non-coding RNA. Lineage: Eukaryota; Fungi; Basidiomycota; Agaricomycetes; Boletales; Hygrophoropsidaceae. The record is from the annotation of a GenBank genome assembly.
GUCACUAUAGCUCAGUGGUAGAGCAUACGAUUGCAAAUCGUGUGGUCCCGUGUUCGAACCACGGUAGGGACU